UCGAGGGGCCCGAGGGAAGCUUGUUCCUUUAGGUCAGCGGGGAAGGGGUAAGUAACAGGUGGGUACCCUCCUGGUAAGAUUGGAAUAAUUCGGGGAACCCGGGGCUAAUCCGGAAGGUUUAAUUGACCGGCAUGGUUCAAUCAUAAAAGGUGGCUUUUAGCUACCACUUACAGAUGGACCCGCGGCGCAUUAGCUAGUUGGUGAGGUAACGGCUCACCAAGGCGACGAUGCGUAGCCGACCUGAGAGGGUGAUCGGCCACACUGGGACUGAGACACGGCCCAGACUCCUACGGGAGGCAGCAGUAGGGAAUCUUCCGCAAUGGACGAAAGUCUGACGGAGCAACGCCGCGUGAGUGAUGAAGGUUUUCGGAUCGUAAACUCUGUUGUUAGGGAAGAACAAGUACCGUUCGAAUAGGGCGGNACCUUGACGGUACCUAACCAGAAAGCCACGGCUAACUACGUGCCAGCAGCCGCGGUAAUACGUAGGUGGCAAGCGUUGUCCGGAAUUAUUGGGCGUAAAGCGCGCGCAGGCGGUUUCUUAAGUCUGAUGUGAAAGCCCCCGGCUCAACCGGGGAGGGUCAUUGGAAACUGGGGAACUUGAGUGCAGAAGAGGAGAGUGGAAUUCCACGUGUAGCGGUGAAAUGCGUAGAGAUGUGGAGGAACACCAGUGGCGAAGGCGACUCUCUGGUCUGUAACUGACGCUGAGGCGCGAAAGCGUGGGGAGCGAACAGGAUUAGAUACCCUGGUAGUCCACGCCGUAAACGAUGAGUGCUAAGUGUUAGAGGGUUUCCGCCCUUUAGUGCUGCAGCAAACGCAUUAAGCACUCCGCCUGGGGAGUACGGUCGCAAGACUGAAACUCAAAGGAAUUGACGGGGGCCCGCACAAGCGGUGGAGCAUGUGGUUUAAUUCGAAGCAACGCGAAGAACCUUACCAGGUCUUGACAUCCUCUGACAACCCUAGAGAUAGGGCUUCCCCUUCGGGGGCAGAGUGACAGGUGGUGCAUGGUUGUCGUCAGCUCGUGUCGUGAGAUGUUGGGUUAAGUCCCGCAACGAGCGCAACCCUUGAUCUUAGUUGCCAGCAUUCAGUUGGGCACUCUAAGGUGACUGCCGGUGACAAACCGGAGGAAGGUGGGGAUGACGUCAAAUCAUCAUGCCCCUUAUGACCUGGGCUACACACGUGCUACAAUGGGCAGAACAAAGGGCAGCGAAGCCGCGAGGCUAAGCCAAUCCCACAAAUCUGUUCUCAGUUCGGAUCGCAGUCUGCAACUCGACUGCGUGAAGCUGGAAUCGCUAGUAAUCGCGGAUCAGCAUGCCGCGGUGAAUACGUUCCCGGGCCUUGUACACACCGCCCGUCACACCACGAGAGUUUGUAACACCCGAAGUCGGUGAGGUAACCUUUUGGAGCCAGCCGCCGAAGG
This 1417-nucleotide ribosomal RNA is filed under the name Bacillus licheniformis. Its description in RNAcentral is "16S ribosomal RNA". It matches the Rfam family "Bacterial small subunit ribosomal RNA". The record is from RNAcentral. Lineage: Bacteria; Bacillati; Bacillota; Bacilli; Caryophanales; Bacillaceae.